UCAUGACGUAGAAUCUGUACUAUUAUGCAGGCUGUUGAGGAACGAUCGUUGACUGCUCAUCGGAUUUCAGAAGACAAUCUUGUUUCAGGUACUCCAAGUGUGAUAUGCCCUACAACCCUGAUGCUUAUAUGGUGAAAUGUGAUGUGGUGUCAAUUCUGGGUCACGGGUUGUUUUUUUGUUCAUCAGAAUCAGACGCGGGAGAUAUUAGCAACAAAACAAGCCACGGGAGAAGCAUCUCAUGGUUGGAAAUCUGGAAUUCAGCAUUAAUCGAAGCCCAGGGACCAAUUAAGAAAAACAGGGUCCUCGGUCUUCCUCGAAUCCCAGCAAAUUCAGUUAUCCGGGCCUUCAAAGAUAGGAAGCAACGCCAGAGCUAGAGGAACCGUAGGUCUCAGCCUAGCAGCAGCAGAAGUUGGUGGUGGCCUGAGCUGGGGUGGUCUGCGGUUGGUAUGGUUAUUUCACAGAAGGUCCGUUCUAUGGCGAAGAAAUGGUUUUUUAGCAAUCAUUUUGAUUUGCAAAGCACAGAGAUCAUCCAAGGAAAGUGUGGUUCAAACUUUACACAAAUGAAUCACAAUGGUUACAACGACGUAUUUUCUAAGCUUUAGUUGAAUAACAAGUACAUAAUGAAUCUGGAAGAUUAUUAAUGAGUUGUGGUUAUCUUUACUUUUUUAAUGAUAAAUUUCUAAAUCUUGGUGGUUUAAUCAUGAAAAAUGUAUUGAUAACGAAAAGUGUUGAUUAUCUGUUUUCUUUUA
Molecule: long non-coding RNA, 749 nt
Organism: Helianthus annuus (common sunflower)
Lineage: Eukaryota; Viridiplantae; Streptophyta; Magnoliopsida; Asterales; Asteraceae
Exons: 2
Source: RefSeq, a predicted model, not a curated record